Molecule: long non-coding RNA, 966 nt
Organism: Cebus imitator (Panamanian white-faced capuchin)
Lineage: Eukaryota; Metazoa; Chordata; Mammalia; Primates; Cebidae
Exons: 3
Source: RefSeq, a predicted model, not a curated record
AGACUUGCUACACCCUCCAGUUGCCUCACACUGAAUCCAGUUAAACCCUGCUCUACUAAAGGCCACCAGUCCAUCAACAAAGAUUUAUUGAACAUCCAGGGGCACAUUCUCAUGCUAGCAAAGAAUGCAUCUUCUCAUUGUGCGUUGAAUAGUGGCCCCUGAAAUGAUGCUCCUGUGUCCUAAUCCCCCGAACCUGUAAAUAUGACCUGAUUUGGAAAAAGGGUGUUUGCAGAUUGAAUUAAGCUAAGGAGCUCAGAAAUCAUCCUGGACUUAACCCAGUGGCAGAUGUCCUUAAAAGAAAAAGGCAGAGGAAGAGUUCAGACAUUGAGACACACAAGUCAGACAGCCAUGUCGACAUGGAAGCAGAGAUUAUGGUUAUGCAGCCUUCAGUCAAGGAAUGCCUGGAACUACUGGGAACUGAAAGAGACAAGGAAGGAUUCUCCCUUGAAGGACUUCAGGGGGAAGAAUGUGGUCCAGAAAUACCUUGAUUUCACACUUCCAUCUCCAAAACUUCCUCAAGACAGCCACCCCAAUGCCACAGUGUCAUUAACCCAGCUGCAGCUCUGAUUCUGCGGGCUCUUUACUGCGGCUCCCACAGCUGUUGCCAGCUCAUCGUCCUACCCUGCAGAGAGGUCAGCGGAAGCCAUAACUCAUGGGCUGUGGCAUCUAAAGAGAUACGAGGGAGCCAUCACCCCGGCUUUCGGAAUGGGCAAGAAAUCUAAAUGCUGAGAACGCUGCUGUGGCCAGGAAUCAGAAAGGAGGAUGCCUCUUGUUGUCCAUGUUGCUUGAGGAAUCUCCCUUCCAAUGGCCCAAGAAAAAGAGAUUCCAACAAAGACACUACAUAAGUCAAGUAUCAGGACAGGAUUACCAACCAAUUCGCUGAUUCUCAGGAGUACUUAUUGACUCUCUGGCAUGCACAAAGUUUUCUAAUAAAAACAUCAGGAGAUUACAGUCGUGAUGAACUGA